AAACCGUUGAAAGGGAAGCGAAUGGAGUUAGCAAUUCGCCCUGCCAGAUUCAGUUGCUCGCGCUUCGCGACGUGCGCGCUCUCGAUCCGCAUGGACGAGACGUGUGCGGGUGCGAUGUGUGGACGGCGCACUUCUGGCGAGCGAGCGUCAGCGUCGGUUGUCGGCGGGCGACAAGGAUGCAAGGAAGGUGGACUGGUCUUUAUGACCGGUUGUUAAGCCUUGUGCUCGUAUAGCUCGACGGCGACCGUGGCUCUGCGACGCGUGCCUGGCUGGUGACCCGAACGUUCGGUCCGGCAUGUCGACCGUAGCGGACGGCACGCCUGUGCGCUCAAACUGCUGCCGGCCGAUCGGAUGGUGUUCGCACACUACGCGUCUAAGAUGCUGACGACCAUACGGCUCCAUCCGACCCGUCUUGAAACACGGACCAAGGAGUCUAACAUGUGCGCGAGUCUCCGGGUGAUUGAAACCCGUGGGCACAAUGAAAGUAAAGAUCGUCCUAGACGAUUGAGGUGAGAAGCGAGUAUUUCGAUAUUUGCGGCAUCAUCGACCGACCUAUUCUGCUCUCAGAAAGGUUUGAGUAAGAGCGUAUCUGUUGGGACCCGAAAGAUGGUGAACUAUGCCUGAAUAGGGUGAAGCCAGCGG
Molecule: ribosomal RNA, 642 nt
Filed under: Trachythela rudis
Lineage: Eukaryota; Metazoa; Cnidaria; Anthozoa; Malacalcyonacea; Clavulariidae
Description: partial 28S ribosomal RNA
Rfam family: Eukaryotic large subunit ribosomal RNA
Source: RNAcentral